AGGACGAACGCUGGCGGCGUGCUUAACACAUGCAAGUCGAGCGGAAAGGCCACUUCGGUGGUACUCGAGCGGCGAACGGGUGAGUAACACGUGAGUAAUCUGCCCUCCACUUUGGGAUAGCCACCGGAAACGGUGAUUAAUACCGGAUAUGACCUUGGCCCGCAUGGGUUGUGGUGGAAAGUUUUUCGGCUGGGGAUGGGCCCGCGGCCUAUCAGCUUGUUGGUGGGGUGAUGGCCUACCAAGGCGGUGACGGGUA
This 256-nucleotide ribosomal RNA is filed under the name uncultured bacterium. Its description in RNAcentral is "partial small subunit ribosomal RNA". It matches the Rfam family "Bacterial small subunit ribosomal RNA", at positions 26 to 285 of the family's 1533-position model. The record is from RNAcentral.